AGUGAACGCUGGCGGUAGGCCUAACACAUGCAAGUCGAACGGCAGCACAGUAAGAGCUUGCUCUUACGGGUGGCGAGUGGCGGACGGGUGAGGAAUACAUCGGAAUCUACUUUUUCGUGGGGGAUAACGUAGGGAAACUUACGCUAAUACCGCAUACGACCUACGGGUGAAAGCAGGGGAUCUUCGGACCUUGCGCGAUUGAAUGAGCCGAUGUCGGAUUAGCUAGUUGGCGGGGUAAAGGCCCACCAAGGCGACGAUCCGUAGCUGGUCUGAGAGGAUGAUCCGCCACAAUGGAACUGAGACACGGUACAGACUCCUACGGGAGGCAGCAGUGGGGAAUAUUGGACAAUGGGCGAAAGCCUGAUCCAGCCAUACCGCGUGGGUGAAGAAGGCCUUCGGGUUGUAAAGCCCUUUUGUUGGGAAAGAAAAGCAGCAGGUUAAUACCCCGCUGUUCUGACGGUACCCAAAGAAUAAGCACCGGCUAACUUCGUG
This 492-nucleotide ribosomal RNA is filed under the name uncultured bacterium. RNAcentral describes it as "partial 16S ribosomal RNA". It matches the Rfam family "Bacterial small subunit ribosomal RNA", at positions 29 to 507 of the family's 1533-position model. The record is from RNAcentral.